GGGCCCAUAGCUCAGUUGGUUAGAGCGGCUGACUCAUAAUCAGCUGGUCCCCGGUUCAAGUCCGGGUGGGCCCACCA
RNAcentral lists this transfer RNA (77 nucleotides) under Nitrospirales bacterium. Its description in RNAcentral is "tRNA-Ile". It matches the Rfam family "tRNA". From Rfam's summary of the family: Transfer RNA (tRNA) molecules are approximately 80 nucleotides in length. Their secondary structure includes four short double-helical elements and three loops (D, anti-codon, and T loops). The record is from RNAcentral. Lineage: Bacteria; Pseudomonadati; Nitrospirota; Nitrospiria; Nitrospirales.